GAUGAACGCUGGCGGCGUGCCUAAUACAUGCAAGUCGAGCGAACGGACGAGAAUCUUGCUUCUCUGAUGUUAGCGGCGGACGGGUGAGUAACACGUGGAUAACCUACCUAUAAGACUGGGAUAACUUCGGGAAACCGGAGCUAAUACCGGAUAAUAUUUUGAACCGCAUGGUUCAAAAGUAAAAGACGGUCUUGCUGUCACUUAUAGAUGGAUCCGCGCUGCAUUAGCUAGUUGGUAAGGUAACGGCUUACCAAGGCAACGAUGCAUAGCCGACCUGAGAGGGGGAUCGGCCACACUGGAAGUGAGACACGGACCAGACUCCUACGGGAGGCAGCAGUAGGGAAUCUUACGCAAUGGGCGAAAGCCUGACGGAGCAACGCCGCGUGAGUGAUGAAGGUCUUCGGAUCGUAAAACUCUGUUAUUAGGGAAGAACAUAUGUGUAAGUAACUGUGCACAUCUUGACGGUACCUAAUCAGAAAGCCACGGCUAACUACGUG
RNAcentral lists this ribosomal RNA (497 nucleotides) under uncultured bacterium. RNAcentral's name for it is "partial 16S ribosomal RNA". It matches the Rfam family "Bacterial small subunit ribosomal RNA", at positions 28 to 507 of the family's 1533-position model. The record is from RNAcentral.